This is an RNA transcript of Grus americana (Whooping crane), 12355 nucleotides long. It is a transcript of the gene named phosphatidylinositol-4,5-bisphosphate 3-kinase catalytic subunit alpha, with no coding region annotated. The transcript is spliced from 22 exons. The record is from RefSeq and is a predicted model, not a curated record. Lineage: Eukaryota; Metazoa; Chordata; Aves; Gruiformes; Gruidae.
CUUCCUGUUAUUGCCCGUGCGGGAGGCGGCUCUGUGGGAGGGGUGUGGGUUGUUGGCGUUGCUUCCGUCAGCGCUCGCGGCGGGGGAUGGUAGCCUGCUGAGGGAGUGUAGCGGUGGCUGUGGGGCGGCUCAACUCAAGGGUUUGUGACUGCUGCGGGGCGCUACCUGGCCCGGCCCGGCCCGGCCCAGCCCUGCCCUGCCUGUCGGGGCGGCGGCUGCGGGCCGGCUCGGAGGUGGGGAGGCCGCGCCUGUGAGGUUUACUCAUACGAAUCACUGUUUGAAAAACUUCCAGUACAAAGUUACCUACAGACUUAAAAAUGCCUCCACGACCAUCAUCUGGCGAACUAUGGGGCAUCCAUUUGAUGCCACCGAGGAUCCUUGUGGAGUGUCUUCUCCCAAAUGGAAUGAUAGUGACUCUAGAAUGCCUCCGUGAGGCUACCUUACUAACUAUUAAACAUGAACUCUUUAAAGAAGCAAGAAAAUACCCUCUCUACCAGCUCCUUCAAGAUGAAUCUUCUUACAUUUUUGUAAGUGUUACACAAGAAGCAGAAAGAGAAGAAUUUUUCGAUGAAACACGGAGACUUUGUGACCUGCGCCUAUUUCAACCUUUUCUAAAAGUAAUUGAACCAGUAGGUAACAGAGAAGAAAAGAUUCUUAAUAGAGAAAUAGGUUUUGCUAUUGGUAUGCCUGUCUGUGAAUUUGACAUGGUUAAGGAUCCAGAAGUACAAGACUUCAGAAGAAAUAUUCUUAAUGUUUGUAAAGAAGCAGUGGAUCUUCGAGAUGCCAACGCACCACAUAGUAGAGCAUUAUAUGUCUGUCCUCCAAACGUGGAGUCUUCAUCUGAGCUACCCAAACACAUAUACAAUAAACUAGAUAAAGGGCAAAUUAUAGUGGUGAUAUGGGUAAUAGUCUCACCAAACAAUGAUAAGCAGAAAUACACCUUAAAAAUCAAUCACGACUGCGUGCCUGAGCAAGUUAUUGCUGAAGCGAUUAGGAAGAAAACGCGAAGUAUGUUGCUGUCAUCUGAACAACUGAAACUUUGUGUCUUGGAAUACCAGGGCAAAUAUAUUUUAAAAGUGUGUGGCUGUGAUGAAUACUUGCUAGAAAAAUAUCCACUGAGCCAGUAUAAGUAUAUCAGAAGCUGUAUAAUGCUUGGUCGCAUGCCCAAUCUGAUGCUGAUGGCUAAGGAAAGCCUAUAUACCCAGCUACCACUGGACACCUUUACUAUGCCAUCUUACUCCAGGCGUAUCUCUACAGCUACACCCUACAUGAAUGGAGAAGCUACAGCCAAAUCUCUCUGGACAAUAAACAGUGCUCUCAGAAUAAAAAUCCUCUGUGCAACCUAUGUAAAUGUGAACAUCAGAGACAUUGACAAGAUCUAUGUUAGAACAGGUAUCUACCAUGGAGGGGAGCCUUUGUGUGACAAUGUGAAUACUCAAAGGGUACCCUGUUCUAAUCCCAGAUGGAAUGAAUGGCUAUUGUAUGACAUGUACAUUCCUGAUCUUCCACGUGCUGCUCGGCUCUGCCUUUCUAUCUGUUCUGUUAAAGGCCGGAAGGGUGCUAAAGAGGAGCACUGUCCAUUAGCGUGGGGAAAUAUAAACAUGUUUGAUUACACAGACACUCUUGUAUCUGGGAAAAUGGCUUUGAACCUUUGGGCAGUACCUCAUGGGCUGGAGGAUUUGUUGAAUCCUAUUGGUGUUACUGGAUCAAAUCCAAAUAAGGAAACUCCAUGUUUAGAACUGGAAUUUGAUUGGUUUAGCAAUCCUGUAAAGUUUCCAGAUAUGACGGUGAUUGAAGAACAUGCCAAUUGGACUAUAUCACGUGAACUGGGGUUUAACUACAGCUAUGCGGGGCUGAGUAACAGAAUAGCUAGAGAUAAUGAAUUAAGAGAAAGUGACAAGGAGCAACUGCGAGCCAUAUGUACACGAGAUCCUUUGUCUGAAAUCACUGAACAAGAGAAAGACUUCCUCUGGAGCCACAGACACUAUUGCGUGAAUACUCCAGAAAUUCUGCCCAAGCUACUUUUGUCUGUUAAAUGGAAUUCGAGAGAUGAAGUAGCCCAGAUGUACUGUUUGGUGAAAGAUUGGCCUCCAAUCAAGCCAGAGCAAGCAAUGGAGCUUUUGGACUGUAAUUAUCCAGAUCCAAUGGUGCGAGCUUUUGCAGUUCGGUGUCUAGAGAAGUACUUGACAGAUGACAAACUGUCUCAGUACUUAAUCCAGCUGGUACAGGUUCUGAAAUACGAACAGUAUUUAGAUAAUCAGCUUGUGAGAUUUUUACUCAAGAAGGCACUGACCAAUCAAAGGAUAGGACACUUCUUCUUUUGGCAUUUAAAGUCUGAAAUGCACAAUAAAACUGUAAGUCAGAGGUUUGGUUUACUUCUGGAGUCCUAUUGUCGAGCAUGUGGAAUGUACCUAAAGCACCUGAGCAGACAGGUGGAGGCUAUGGAGAAGUUGAUUAACCUCACAGAUAUUCUCAAGCAGGAAAAAAAAGAUGAGACCCAGAAGGUACAGAUGAAGUUUCUUGUUGAACAAAUGAGGCGGCCAGAUUUUAUGGAUGCUUUACAAGGUUUUAUCUCUCCCCUUAAUCCUGCGCAUCAACUGGGAAAUCUUCGGCUUGAGGAGUGCAGGAUAAUGUCAUCUGCAAAAAGGCCCUUGUGGUUGAACUGGGAAAACCCAGAUAUUAUGUCUGAAUUGUUAUUUCAGAACAAUGAGAUAAUCUUUAAAAAUGGAGACGACUUGCGUCAGGACAUGCUGACACUUCAGAUAAUUCGAAUUAUGGAAAACAUCUGGCAAAAUCAGGGUCUUGAUCUUCGGAUGUUACCUUAUGGUUGUUUGUCUAUUGGUGACUGUGUGGGACUCAUCGAGGUAGUGAGGAGCUCUCAUACGAUCAUGCAGAUUCAGUGUAAAGGAGGCUUAAAAGGAGCAUUGCAGUUCAACAGCCAUACGUUGCAUCAGUGGCUCAAGGACAAGAACAAAGGAGACAUGUAUGAUGCGGCUAUUGACUUGUUUACACGUUCUUGUGCUGGUUACUGUGUUGCUACCUUUAUACUGGGCAUUGGUGAUCGCCACAAUAGUAACAUCAUGGUAAAAGAUGAUGGACAACUGUUUCACAUUGACUUUGGGCACUUCCUCGAUCACAAGAAGAAGAAAUUUGGUUAUAAAAGAGAGCGCGUGCCAUUUGUCUUAACACAAGACUUUUUAAUAGUGAUCAGUAAAGGAGCCCAAGAAUGUACCAAAACAAGGGAGUUUGAAAGGUUUCAGGAGAUGUGUUAUAAGGCUUAUCUUGCAAUUCGGCAGCAUGCCAAUCUCUUCAUAAAUCUUUUCUCCAUGAUGCUUGGCUCAGGAAUGCCAGAACUGCAGUCCUUUGAUGAUAUUGCAUACAUUCGAAAGACCCUUGCAUUGGACAAAACUGAGCAGGAAGCUCUUGAGUACUUCAUGAAGCAAAUGAAUGAUGCUCACCAUGGUGGCUGGACAACAAAAAUGGACUGGAUCUUCCACACAAUAAAGCAACAUGCUUUGAACUGAAAUAAAAGCAAAGACAACAAUAACUGGUAGCCCGCUUUGUGGGUACUGCACUGUUAAUACCCAUUAGCAGCAAAGACUGGUUGCAUAGGAAUUGCACAAACCGUGAGCAACAUUAGAAUUUAUGGCAAGAAAAGAGAUGAACUGUUCAGACAACUGUCGAAAAAUAAUGUAAAACAGGGUUUCAGAUAGCACUAAAGUUGUACACUUCAAAAAUUAAGCUUUAGUAUGAUGUGUGACUUCAUGUUAUGCCUUAAGCCCAAAAAGCCCAGUUCUAUCUGUCCAAGACUCCCGUUUCCAUUAACGUCACUGAAGGUGACCAGAUAAUACUCCUAGGACCAAAUUCAACCCUGGUGAAAGAGGACACAAGUACCAUUGAAGUAGUGGGAGAUACACCCACUAAUGCGAGAGGUGAACUUGGCCUAAGUCUCUUCACAAAUUUUUGGGCAUCACUCUUCAUAUUACUGAAGUGAUAUGCUGGCUAUUCAAGGAACAUACAUUUAAACCCUCAAUCUUUGGGUCCACCAUUUCUCCUCUUUCUUCCUCCUUUGGAAGUGGUUGUUUAAUCCAGUAACAGAUACAUCAAAAAUAGCAAUUUAGAUUUUUCAAUAUGAUCAAUAAUAAGCAGUUCAACAUACAGCUGAUACAUUGGAUAGCUCAAAGCAUGUGGAGUUACCAAACAUUUUAUAGCUAUGUCUGUUUUGCGUGUGUGUGUGUAAUGUAUAUUUGUAAAUCUAGUUGUUGUCCUCUAACACAAUUACAAUGUGUGCAAUUGAUUAAAUUGGCACCACUUUUUGAAACUAUUCAGAGUACCGAAGAUUUCAGAUUGCCCUUAUGCACUACUUCAGGUAGGACUGUUUUUCUAAUUAUUAAACAGGUUUUUUAAUUUAGUGAAGCCCAUGAUUGAGAGUGAUGUUCACCCUAACAUUUUAAACUUGCUAGAUUGGCAGCACUUGGAACUUAUUCCAAAGGUCUGUAGCUUUUGGGGGUUUAGCUUGUUCACUUGCAAACACACACCGAGGUGCCACUCAGAAAGUGCAAUACCCCAUGUAAUAUAAAAUAUGCUGACAGCUGGUGUUAGAUUAGAAUAUAAAUAAACUGUACUUUGUGCAGGCUGUACUGAUGAGGUAAUGAGUGGUUGGCUUCAUUUAGCAAAUUGUAAUAUAUUAAAAAUGUGCAAUCAGUUACAUUAUGAAAGACUGGGGAUUGUAAAGCCAAGACUUUGGUCUUUCAAGACACUUUCAUAGUCAAGAUCCUGCAGUUGAUGACUGCACACAUGGAUACUUGAUGUUGUGGGGGGAAAUCUGUUUUUGUGAAAACUACAGAAGUUCUGAGAAUAGUAUGGGGAAUGUGAAGUUUUAUUUCCUUAGUUCUACUAGAUAUUUUGGAGUAGUCCAAUAGACUUCCCAUUACUCUUAUUGACUGUUACAUAUUCCUUUUUGUUCAUAUGAAUAUUUUAACUCCUGCUAACCUUGGUCAUACUUCUAGAGCAAAAUCACCCUUGUAUGUAUUACUUUGCAGUCAACAUAGUCUAAUAGUUUAGCUCUUCUAAAACAUGGCUUAGUUUCAGUUUAAACUUAGUUCACAAAAUUUGAAACCCAGUUGGCUGUAACUCUUAAUUUAACUGAGUAAAACUUGCACAAAUGCCACAUUAGGUGCUAUAUUAUCCUUAUUUAUCUGGUAUUGAAACAAUGCUUUACCUCGUUUAUCUAAGAGAUGGUCAGCCUUUUCUAGCCUGGAUGAAAAGAUCAACUCAAAUUUAUUGGAUGUUAUGAGCUUGACUUCUUUUGUACUUUGCCCUUUCCUAGCCAUUUACUUCUGUAAAUAUGAGUGAGUAUAAAUGUCUUUCAGUUCAAGCAUACGGUGUUCUGCACCCUUUUUGCACAAACAGAAAGGUAUGAGGAAUCAGGCUCUGUUUCUAAAAGUUACUGCAACUAAAUGCUGCGCACAAGCUGUAGAAGUUAUUAACAUCAAAUAGUAAAAGAAAGGAAACUUCAUAGUGAUACAGACAUAAUAUAAUUUGGGAUAAUUAUAGCCUUUAAAUUAAAAAAAAAGUAGGAGAAACUCAUAGGCUUUAAGCAGUUGUUCUUACCAUAACCAGGAUGGGCAUUUGAAAAAUAUUCUGCAGGUGUUUCAGGAAAAAAAACUAAAUCCUUUUUUCAGCUUCAAAAUGUUCAAUCCUAAUUACCUUAUCCUGCUAAUGCCAGUUUUGUGCUGAUGUAACUUCACUGAAGAUAGUGGAGGUAGUUUACUUCCAUUGGUGUAAAUGAGAGGAUGUCAUCUGUUUUCAGUAUCAGAAGUAAGAUCUGCUUACAGACUGUGAAAGCACCUGUAACUGAGCUCUAGAUUUUUACAGAUAUUGCUUGGAAUGUGGAUUUUUAUUUUUUAACUAUUCCCAAUUCAUGGAGAUUUGAAAAUGUUCCCUUUAUUCUGAGAAUCAGCUGCAGAAAACACUAAGUAGCUUAUUUUGAGCUUGAACUGAAUCUUGAACACCUUGCUCCUGCAAAACUUUCUAGUAGGACUUCCCAGAGCAAGAAGCCCACGACUGGGCCAUGUUUCCUUAAGAAGCAUUAGGAAAUGGUGAUUUAGUGAAAUACAAAUUUAAAAACAGUAACUUUUUUUCAACUGUGAAACGAUGUUUGAUUUAAUGACAGAAAUUAGGCUGCUGUUGAUUAGUUUUUCUUUAAAAUAUGUUCUUUGCUUUUGUAAAGGUAGCAGAAUAAGCACCUGUACUGACUUACGUGUGGACACUUCUCUGUUCUGAAAGGGGGCGUUAGUUUUUUCAUGGUGAAACAGACUUUCAGUAUAAUUUUUUAAAUUAAAAAAAAGCAUUUAAAUAAAACCAAAAUUGUUAGUGGUUUGGCAUCUUGUGGCGAAGAUAGAAGCCUGCAUAUUAAGGGCGAUAUAGAAAUUACCAGGCUUGUAGAGAACUUUGUGAUGACCCUGCUGUUGGUGGUUUGGAGGGUUGUUUUUGUUUUUUCUUCCAACUUUCCUUUUUAUGUAAAAUAUUACAUGCCUUUUAGGGGUCAGUAGCCCACAUUUGUUGACAAUUUGAAGAUAUUUUCUUUGCUUUGUCAUUUUAUAACUGGCAUGUUCCAGCAUCUGUUCUUAAUAAUUGUGAAUUCCUCCUGUUUUGCAUGUCUGUACAGGUUGCAGACCUGGGCUGGACCCAUUCAAAAAACAAAUAUCAAAAAAGCCACUUGAAAUUACUAUUUUGUUGAUGUCUCUGACGUUCUGAAAAUGCUUCAAGUUAAUGAAAAUGGUGUGGUAUUACAGAAAGAAUUGUAACUUGCUGCUUCUAAGAUUAUUUUUUUUUUUAAACUUCUUUCUCUUGUUUUAGUUUUACUUGAAUGGAAGAAGAACCACGCUUUUUUUUUUAAAUACUAUAUAGCUGUGGAUGUUGUUGCAGAUUGUUGAAUCCCAACUUAAUUUUGCAAUACAUGUUUCAUACAAAUAACGAAUUUGUAUCUUUUUUUAUAUGCUGAAAGUUGUCUCAGUUUAGGUAAGGCUAAAUGUUGUAUAGCUCACCACCCCUACAGUUGGGGUGGGUUUGGGGUGGGGUUUUUUGCUUUGGUUUUGUUUUUUACAUUUGUGUUAAUGAAGGGGAGCCAACUGGAGAUUGGAUAUAGAAGUUCUGUUAUCUGCAUACACUAACCAAAUCUAUAGGUGCUGUGGUCUUUGAGAAAUUCUGAUUUCGCUUUAUGCUGAUAGAACACUGACUUCAGGAGAAUCACUCUGGAUUCACAACAGCAUAUGAAAUCAGAAUUAGACUAAUAUAUUAAAGUCCCAGAUUACUUACUCAUAUGAUUCAGUAUGAACGAUGCUCUCUUAAUGAGAAGAAUGUUUACUAGCAGCCCAGUUACACACUUGACAAUUUUACUUUGAAAUUGUCUUUAUUAAUUAGCUUUUUCAGCUCUCCAAUUCGUAACUACUGUGAUCUUGUCUAUAGUUACUUUCAUUCUUGAGACAUCCAGGAUUUUUAUUGCUUGCUAGCUUAAAUGUUUCCUCUUUCUUCUCUUUCAUAGUAUAAGAACUUGUACCCACACUCGGGAAAAGUAGUUGUUAAUUUGCAGUACAGUAUUCUUGACUUCUGACUCUUAAGUAUGAGGUCUUACUGUGUUACCACUCCUGACUCUAAAACAGAGGUGGAUCCCUCUGUCCCUGUCUCUUCCCUUCCCCUCUCCCCUAAAAAGGGACAGGCCCAUAGCAUAAGAACAAUAUAAAAUCUUGUAAGAGAAGAUCAACUGAAGCAAUGCUCUGUCUGUACUUUGAAGCUAGCGCCCCCAUGGGUUUGCAUAAAUAUGUCUUAAGUUUAAGUGUCCUUACUGUCACUUCUGUAUGUGAUGCAAUAUACCUUUGGCAUAAGGAAGGCAAAAAAUACACCAUUCUGUCUUGACUCUUUCUGAAAUUCUGGUGCCGGUUCCCCAGUAGCUAUUACACUGGUUUGGGAACCAUUUAGUUCAGUGUAACUGCAUCAGUUUUGUUAGGAACGUGUUCCAGUAAUAAAAUUGAUCACAGUUAAACCUGACUUAAUUGUAUUGCUGAAGUUAUAGAAAGCCUAAUUCAAGCAGAAGCUGUUUCUCAUAAGAAUCUUAUGUCUGUUGUAGUUUAGUUAAUCUUUGAGAGCCAAAAUAUGGAUAUUCAUAGCUGCAAUCUCAUUCUGCCUUGUUUCUUUGGUUUAACUAUUUUUAAUCUAUUUCCAGGCUUUAUUAAUAGUGUUCUAUAUCCUGAAUUAUCAACUACCCUAGGCUGUCCAAUGUUGUCUUACCAUUUCAUUUGGGCAGGGGAAAGAAAAGGAAGAGAGGAAGAGAUGAACCCUCUUGUCUCACAGCCACUGUGGUUCAAAUUCUUCAUCUUCGCAAGAGAAGAUAGAUGUAUAAUUCAUCAUCUGGGAGUAUCAUCCUUUCCCCUUGCCCCUUCGUACCUCUGCAAGUUUUAACUGUGAAUAUCCACAUAUGCUAUCAAAAUCCACUUCCCUGGUGGGGAAAAGGAUUUUUUUAUAUAUAAAUAUAUAAUAUGGCUGCAGUCUGACGUUCUGAAUUCUCAGGCUUGAAAUUUUGCAAGUAGUGUUGUCAUUGCAACUGGUACCACAAUUGCAAGAACUUUCACAGAAUCACACAGAAUUGUUGAGGUUGGCAGAGACCUCUGGAGAUUGUCUAAUUCACCUGCCCUGUUUGAAGCAGGGUCAGCUACAGCAGGUUCCCCAGGACAUCGUCCAGUUGGGUUUAAAGUCCCACUACAAAGUCCAUGCUAAAAGCUUUUCCUUAAUGCUUAUAUGAAACUUGUUCUAUCUCAUUGCUUAACAUCCUUUCAGUGGGCAACAGUGAGAAGCUUUGCCUGUCUUCUUUACUCCUCUCCAUCAAGUAUUUAUAUAAAUUGACAAGAUGCCACUUGAGCUUUCCCUUCACCAGGCUAAAAAAUCCCAGCUUUCUCAGCCUCCCCUCCUGUCCCUUCAUCAUCUUCAUGGCCCUUUCUGGACCAGCUCAUACUGAGGAGCCCAGCACUGGACCCAGCAUUCCCACUGUGGCCGCAGCGGUGCUGAGCACAGAGGGGCAGGAUGAAGCCUCACCUCCCUUGACCUGCUGGCAUCGCUCUUCCUAGGGCAGCCCAGCAUCCUGUUGGCAUUUUGGAUAAAUAGAGCCCAGGAGGGUGUAAUCUCUUGAUGCUUCUAUGUUACUUCAUUGAAGCUAGUAGCAGUUACCUGUCUGCAUCAAAAUAAGAGUAUAAACACCCACCAGUGCUUGAAAUAGCUUUUUAAAAAUGAGACCAUUAUCUUUGAAAUAACCACUAAUGGGGGGGCGGGGGGGUGGGGGGGUAUGUUGCCAUGUGUAUGUCAUUCUGUAAUAAAGGUCCUGUGGUAAAGUAGUUAGAAAGCAAGACUUUUUUAGUAACAAUGGGCCAAAAAAGUAUUUAAGAUGCAGCAAGAUGCAUGUGUUGUCAUACUGAGAAUAGUCUUGCAGUAUGUUUUUAAAAAACAAAAAACCAGCCACCACCUUUUUUCCCCUUCUGCUGUGCUACUCAAGUAAAGAAGUUUGGCCUAUGAUACUUACUGUAGUUCAUGUUCAUUAGAAACUGUAAAAAGUCUGCUUUUUAUUUAUCUUCGUGGUCUGUAUCACAUGCUGUUUAUUAAAAAAACCCUACUUUUGUUUGUUUUUUAUCACACUUUGGAGUGUUAAUGUAUAUACUAACAAUUAAAUUAAAAUAAUAUGGUUGGUACUCUUGUGAAUUCUGAAGUGAGAAUUUAAGGAAUCUUCAGUCGUGGAGGUGUGACUUGGUGUUGCAGCUCUGCUUUCGAAAAAGGCUAGAAGAAAGGAGAUGAUUGUCUAGAACAGUUAAUUGAGGUGGGGUGGGGGGAGAAAUGGAAUUUGCAUUAUUUAUAGGUGGGAAGUCAAGAGGCAUGUGGUGGUCAUUCUUGUACACUUUGAUCCUCAAAAUAAGUAACAUUUUAGAUGUGGGCUGUAAAAGUUCUGAUAAGAGACCAGAUGCUAUUGCAGUUUCAGCUGAAUGGUUUUAAAGCCCCGGCUAAAUCAAUAUGUUUGAUGUUUUGGGUUUUUUUUUUAAAUAUCCUUCAUGCUUUCAUUACCAAAACUAUAUUAAAAAAACAAACUAGGUUGUAUUUUUGUAUCCAGUAUGAAUUUUGAAAGAGUAAGAAACAUAUUUGGGAAAUUACUGGCAAGUAUAAGAGCAUGGGGCUGCACUGGAAUUGCUUCUGUGGGCAUGUUGGUCUACUUUGGACUUCUAUUGCUAAGAAAUUGUUAUGGGAGGGGGAUUUGAGUUCUCUUGCUGAGAAUUUCCCUUUUUUGAAGGGAUGAGGGAAGUGUCAGGGUUUUUUAAUCAGGUAAUUUCUACACAUCUUUGCCCCCAGUAAGCUUUAAACUUUGUAUGCUGGUUAAUUCUGUUUCAGAUCACCGCUGCCUAGCUUUGAGAAGGGCUAUGUUCCAGCAAGUACUCGGUCUGCAUGGGAUUUGAACUCCAUCAUAAAAGGUGGACAUCAUUAUCCUUAGUUAUUCUGAAGCUCCAGCUGAGCUCUAGGCUGGAGAGGGCAAAUCAAACUAUGGCUUGUGAUUUUGAAGUAGUCUAGUAAUUUUGUUAGUGUAAGGUGAGCUUUACCUUUUCUAGUAACUGUGAGAUGCUUAUGAGUGGUUACUGCCUUGUUUUAAAUGGUUCAGGGAAAGGGGAUUAUUAGUUCUUGUCAAAAUGUGAAUUUUAGAGUUUACUGCCAUUACCAUGGUUUGAUUUUUGUGGUGGUUCUAUGUUUCAAUCCCUAAAGCACCAAAAAAUUAUGGAAAACUUGCAAAAUAAUGCUGGUGAAACAGAAGAAUUAUUUGCAAUGUGGCCAGUUUGCUUUAGCAUGGGAAUCUCAAUGAGCCCUCCUGAUUUUAUGCUCAGAAAUCAGUCUGGUUUUCAACCUGCAUUGGGAAGACUUUAUCCAAAAUGUGAACCCAUGUAAUAAAAGAGCAAGAAAACUGAUGCUAGAUAAGAUAUCUCAGAUAAACUCUUUUUUCAAUGAAAGCAGUAAGUAUAGCUCAUAAUAAUCUUUGCUGAAAAUAUAUGUCCCUUUAAGCUAAUGAAUCUAGGAGGUUAUCCCAUUCUUCUUUCGGUAAGGAUACAUCCCUACUAAUUGAAAUGAUCAACAUAGAUGAUGCUCAUUUCAACCAUAAGGUGAGUAUCACACGGGCUUUUCUGUGUUUCCAGUUGGAAUGGGUUCUAAGUGAUUAAAACCUGACCCAGAGUUGUCUGAACAUCCCAAGCACGUGAUGGUUUAGAAAACGGGAGUCAGACUUUUCUGUCUGAAGUAUUGAUGACACUGUCUGAUGCCUGUGGCUUUGAACUGAAUUUGUGGCUUCAAAGGGGAUCCUCCUCAGAUGUUUUUCUUUCACUUGAAGUCUUGUAUUUUUGUCUGACAUAGGUGAUGUUGGGCUGUGCUGCUUUGUGUGGAGAAGAAAUCAGUCAAAAGGUACAGAAUAUAUAUUGUGAUUUGGUUAGCCUGAGUUUGUCUCACCAAGCAGGCCUGAAUUCAAAGGAAAGGGUUGGGUUUGGUGUGGGUUUUGUCUUGUUUUUUGUUUUCUUUUUUCCCUUGGCAAAUAAUGGAUUUUAAGUUCUCAUUACUGCCCUCCGCUGGGAACUGGGGAAGGUAUUUUUUUGUAUAUUUACAUGGAAAACAUUUUGGUGAAUAGAGGGAGAACUAUGUGGGCAUCCACCCAUUUGGGUGACUAUAGCCAGUUUACGAGAACUUUAACACAAUCUGUCCUGGAGAAAUGUCAGCUCCGAUGGCUGGAAUAAACAGCAGAGAACAAACUGAACUGGGAUGCCAGGAUCUUGUUUGAUUGGUAAUUCAGCUCAGGAGAUAAUAGAUACACCACAUUUACUUAAUUUCUGAGGGCUCAGGAGUGUGUCUUCAAAGUGAUACCUUUACUUCUAUUUACUGCUUACUGUCAAGCUUUCUGUGUGAUCACGGGAUGAAGCUCUUUCUAUGUGGCUCUAACCAAAUCACAUCACCCUAAAGACAUGUUUUGAACUUUCAGGACAAAGGCCUAAAGGUAGGAUUUAUAAACAGAGUGAGUCCAGUUUCAGCUUCCAGCUAAUGAAUAAAACUGAGGUCAGAAGUAGGGUAUUUUUUUACUGAUCACUGGAACAACAUCAUCAGGGAUGUUGUGGAUUCUCUGCUAAUUGAAUGCUUGAUCUUAAAAUUAGGUAGCUUCAGGCUAAACUAGAGCAGAAUAGCUCAAUGAAUUAAAUGCUUGGUAAAAUUCCAUGAUCUGUUUUAAGUCAUCAACCUAAGUGACUGUAAUGGUUUUCCUUGUCUCUUCAAAAUAAAUGACUAUUUUGAAAAA